GGGCCUUUAGCUCAGCGGUUAGAGCAGGGGACUCAUAAUCCCUUGGUCGUCGGUUCGAAUCCGACAGGGCCCACCA
Molecule: transfer RNA, 76 nt
Filed under: Termitidicoccus mucosus
Lineage: Bacteria; Pseudomonadati; Verrucomicrobiota; Opitutia; Opitutales; Opitutaceae
Description: Opitutaceae bacterium TSB47 tRNA-Met
Rfam family: tRNA
About the family: Transfer RNA (tRNA) molecules are approximately 80 nucleotides in length. Their secondary structure includes four short double-helical elements and three loops (D, anti-codon, and T loops).
Source: RNAcentral